RNAcentral lists this ribosomal RNA (1526 nucleotides) under Escherichia coli. Its description in RNAcentral is "bacterial SSU rRNA". It matches the Rfam family "Bacterial small subunit ribosomal RNA". The record is from RNAcentral. Lineage: Bacteria; Pseudomonadati; Pseudomonadota; Gammaproteobacteria; Enterobacterales; Enterobacteriaceae.
AGAGUUUGAUCAUGGCUCAGAUUGAACGCUGGCGGCAGGCCUAACACAUGCAAGUCGAACGGUAACAGGAANNNNNNNNNNNNNNNCUUUGCUGACGAGUGGCGGACGGGUGAGUAAUGUCUGGGAAACUGCCUGAUGGAGGGGGAUAACUACUGGAAACGGUAGCUAAUACCGCAUAACGUCGCAAGACCAAAGAGGGGGACCUUCGGGCCUCUUGCCAUCGGAUGUGCCCAGAUGGGAUUAGCUUGUUGGUGGGGUAACGGCUCACCAAGGCGACGAUCCCUAGCUGGUCUGAGAGGAUGACCAGCCACACUGGAACUGAGACACGGUCCAGACUCCUACGGGAGGCAGCAGUGGGGAAUAUUGCACAAUGGGCGCAAGCCUGAUGCAGCCAUGCCGCGUGUAUGAAGAAGGCCUUCGGGUUGUAAAGUACUUUCAGCGGGGAGGAAGGGAGUAAAGUUAAUACCUUUGCUCAUUGACGUUACCCGCAGAAGAAGCACCGGCUAACUCCGUGCCAGCAGCCGCGGUAAUACGGAGGGUGCAAGCGUUAAUCGGAAUUACUGGGCGUAAAGCGCACGCAGGCGGUUUGUUAAGUCAGAUGUGAAAUCCCCGGGCUCAACCUGGGAACUGCAUCUGAUACUGGCAAGCUUGAGUCUCGUAGAGGGGGGUAGAAUUCCAGGUGUAGCGGUGAAAUGCGUAGAGAUCUGGAGGAAUACCGGUGGCGAAGGCGGCCCCCUGGACGAAGACUGACGCUCAGGUGCGAAAGCGUGGGGAGCAAACAGGAUUAGAUACCCUGGUAGUCCACGCCGUAAACGAUGUCGACUUGGAGGUUGUGCCCUUGAGGCGUGGCUUCCGGAGCUAACGCGUUAAGUCGACCGCCUGGGGAGUACGGCCGCAAGGUUAAAACUCAAAUGAAUUGACGGGGGCCCGCACAAGCGGUGGAGCAUGUGGUUUAAUUCGAUGCAACGCGAAGAACCUUACCUGGUCUUGACAUCCACGGAAGUUUUCAGAGAUGAGAAUGUGCCUUCGGGAACCGUGAGACAGGUGCUGCAUGGCUGUCGUCAGCUCGUGUUGUGAAAUGUUGGGUUAAGUCCCGCAACGAGCGCAACCCUUAUCCUUUGUUGCCAGCGGUCCGGCCGGGAACUCAAAGGAGACUGCCAGUGAUAAACUGGAGGAAGGUGGGGAUGACGUCAAGUCAUCAUGGCCCUUACGACCAGGGCUACACACGUGCUACAAUGGCGCAUACAAAGAGAAGCGACCUCGCGAGAGCAAGCGGACCUCAUAAAGUGCGUCGUAGUCCGGAUUGGAGUCUGCAACUCGACUCCAUGAAGUCGGAAUCGCUAGUAAUCGUGGAUCAGAAUGCCACGGUGAAUACGUUCCCGGGCCUUGUACACACCGCCCGUCACACCAUGGGAGUGGGUUGCAAAAGAAGUAGGUAGCUUAACCUUCGGGAGGGCGCUUACCACUUUGUGAUUCAUGACUGGGGUGAAGUCGUAACAAGGUAACCGUAGGGGAACCUGCGGUUG